GACGAACGCUGGCGGCGUGCUUAACACAUGCAAGUCGAACGGAAAGGCCCUGCUUUUGUGGGGUGCUCGAGUGGCGAACGGGUGAGUAACACGUGAGUAACCUGCCCUGGACUUUGGGAUAACUUCAGGAAACUGGGGCUAAUACCGGAUAGGAGCUCCUGCUGCAUGGUGGGGGUUGGAAAGUUUCGGCGGUUGGGGAUGGACUCGCGGCUUAUCAGCUUGUUGGUGGGGUAGUGGCUUACCAAGGCUUUGACGGGUAGCCGGCCUGAGGGGGUGACCGGCCACAUUGGGACUGGGCUACGGCCCAGACUCCUACGGGAGGCAGCAGUGGGGAAUAUUGCACAAUGGGCGGAAGCCUGAUGCAGCAACGCCGCGUGCGGGAUGACGGCCUUCGGGUUGUAAACCGCUUUCGCAUGUGACGAAGCGUGAGUGACGGUAAUGGGUAAAGAAGCACCGGCUAACUACGU
RNAcentral lists this ribosomal RNA (467 nucleotides) under uncultured bacterium. RNAcentral's name for it is "partial 16S ribosomal RNA". It matches the Rfam family "Bacterial small subunit ribosomal RNA", at positions 28 to 506 of the family's 1533-position model. The record is from RNAcentral.